Molecule: long non-coding RNA, 694 nt
Filed under: Pongo abelii (Sumatran orangutan)
Lineage: Eukaryota; Metazoa; Chordata; Mammalia; Primates; Hominidae
Description: lincRNA
Source: RNAcentral
UUCACCUGCUAGGCUCGUCCGACAUGUCUCGCGCUCCCAUCGCACUCCAGCGUUGCGCAGCCUGGAGGGACAGGACGGACACGCGUGUGCCUCCUUCUAAUUCAUCUUGUAUGGCUUCACCAUUGUGGUUGUCAAUAUGGCAUGCAGAAUUAUCCCUCUUUCCAGGUUUUCCUCAAGGACCCUGGACAAUGCUGGUUUUUUCUAUGUGCACCACCAAAGGGCCCAUCCAGCUUCUAGAGUCUACCUGGUUUCCUGGGCUCAUGGCCCCUUCCUCCAUCUUCAAACCAGCAAUGGAAAUGGAAAUGAAAGCAAAAUGGAAGGACGUGAGGUCCUUAUCCUUGGAGAUCCUAUGGCGUCUCCACAGACAUUCCUUGAAGAAAUCAGAAAGAGCUGAGCCUGACACUCUAACCGGUUCUCUGGGUGUACUGCAAAGGUCUAAUAAAAGGCACCUUUGCCCGGUUGCUUCAAUUCUAGGAAGCUGUUCAAUGUUUGACUGUAUUUCUCCAUACUCAUUUGAAAACAGUUCAUCAGGUUAGUUCAGUUGAAUUAUUGCUCCUUGGGAGUUUUCCAAACCCUGGAUUUCCUUCGGAGAGAGCUAGAUUCUAUUCCAUUCUUGGAAUUCAGCUCCUUGCCCCUCUCCAUGACCCCUGAUUGCAAAUGCAGUAAAAAUAAAAAUAUCCUGCCACCUCCUGCA